UUUGAAGGUAGGAUUUUCUAGAAUAGCCAACACUUGGUAAGCUUUUGGACUCCAAGGAGACAUCCAUUAGUUAUCUCUUGCGAGCUUUUGACGGGUAAUCCAAGGUUAAAGAUCACCUUGAAUGGCAAGUGCUAGGUGAGAGGUAUGAGUCAUUGCAAGGUGCAUCAGUGAGAGGGAUUUAGUGUUUGAACCCAUUAAUGGGAAGCAUCUGUACAGCACCGGUUAGAGAAUUAACUAUAUGUUAAUUCUCUAAUGCGAGGAAAAUAAACAAGUGACCGAAACUCUCCUUUUUGUAUGAGGAACCUGAGCCUAGUGAUCUGAACUCCA
Molecule: long non-coding RNA, 327 nt
Filed under: Vitis vinifera (wine grape)
Lineage: Eukaryota; Viridiplantae; Streptophyta; Magnoliopsida; Vitales; Vitaceae
Description: long non-coding RNA (VVIN_LNC000241)
Source: RNAcentral